Molecule: ribosomal RNA, 515 nt
Filed under: uncultured bacterium
Lineage: Bacteria
Description: bacterial SSU rRNA
Rfam family: Bacterial small subunit ribosomal RNA
Source: RNAcentral
GAGUUUGAUCCUGGCUCAGGAUGAACGCUGGCGGCGUGCCUAACACAUGCAAGUCGAACGAAGCACCUUUUGAGAUUCUUCGGAUGAUCGAUCGGUGACUGAGUGGCGGACGGGUGAGUAACGCGUGGGUAACCUGCCCUGUACAGGGGGAUAACAGCUGGAAACGGCUGCUAAUACCGCAUAAGCGCACGAGGAGACAUCUCCUUGUGUGAAAAACUCCGGUGGUAUAAGAUGGACCCGCGUUGGAUUAGCUAGUUGGCAGGGCAACGGCCUACCAAGGCAACGAUCCAUAGCCGGCCUGAGAGGGUGAACGGCCACAUUGGGACUGAGACACGGCCCAGACUCCUACGGGAGGCAGCAGUGGGGAAUAUUGCACAAUGGGGGAAACCCUGAUGCAGCGACGCCGCGUGAAGGAAGAAGUAUCUCGGUAUGUAAACUUCUAUCAGCAGGGAAGAUAAUGACGGUACCUGACUAAGAAGCCCCGGCUAACUACGUGCCAGCCGCCGCGGUAAUUC